Molecule: ribosomal RNA, 373 nt
Filed under: uncultured bacterium
Lineage: Bacteria
Description: bacterial SSU rRNA
Rfam family: Bacterial small subunit ribosomal RNA
Source: RNAcentral
GAUGAACGCUGGCGGUAUGCUUAACACAUGCAAGUCGAACGAAAGCUUAGCUUUAGUGGCGGACGGGUGAGUAAUACAUAAGAAUCUACCUUUAGGAAGGGAAUAACUAUUGGAAACGAUUGCUAAUACCCUAUAUACUGAAAAGUGAAAUAAGAAAUUGCCUAAAGAUGAGCUUAUGUCUGAUUAGCUAGUUGGUAAGGUAAUGGCUUACCAAAGCAACGAUCAGUAGCUGGUUUGAGAGGAUGAUCAGCCACACUGGAACUGAGACACGGUCCAGACUUCUACGGAAGGCAGCAGUGGGGAAUUUUCCGCAAUGGGCGAAAGCCUGACGGAGCAAUACCGCGUGAGGGACGAAGGCCUGUGGGUUGUAAAC